Oncorhynchus keta (chum salmon) is the source of this 194-nucleotide long non-coding RNA. RefSeq lists it as uncharacterized. The record is from RefSeq and is a predicted model, not a curated record. Lineage: Eukaryota; Metazoa; Chordata; Actinopteri; Salmoniformes; Salmonidae. The transcript has 3 exons.
CCAAGGUAGUGCACUAUAUAGGGAGUAGGUUAAUGUUACAGACUCCAUGUGGGCCCUGGUCCAAGGUAGUGCACUAUAUAGGGAGUAGGUUAAUGUUACAGACUCCAUGUGGGCCCUGGUCCAAGGUAGUGCACUAUAUAGGGAGUAGGGUAAUGUUACAGACUUCAUAUGGGCCCUGGUCCAAGGUAGUGCAC